UGGGGAAUAUUGCACAAUGGGGGAAACCCUGAUGCAGCGACGCCGCGUGAGCGAAGAAGGUUUUCGAAUCGUAAAGCUCUGUCCUAUGGGAAGAUAAUGACGGUACCAUAGGAGGAAGCCCCGGCUAACUACGUGCCAGCAGCCGCGGUAAUACGUAGGGGGCAAGCGUUGUCCGGAAUCACUGGGCGUAAAGCGCGCGCAGGUGGUUUAGAAAGUCUGAUGUGAAAGCCCACGGCUCAACCGUGGAGGGUCAUUGGAAACUAAUAAACUUGAGUGCAGGAGAGAAAAGUGGAAUUCCUAGUGUAGCGGUGAAAUGCGUAGAGAUUAGGAGGAACACCGGUGGCGAAAGCGGCUUUUUGGCCUGCAACUGACACUGAGGCGCGAAAGCGUGGGGAGCAAACAGG
RNAcentral lists this ribosomal RNA (404 nucleotides) under Verrucomicrobiota bacterium. RNAcentral describes it as "Verrucomicrobia bacterium partial 16S ribosomal RNA". It matches the Rfam family "Bacterial small subunit ribosomal RNA", at positions 355 to 776 of the family's 1533-position model. Lineage: Bacteria; Pseudomonadati; Verrucomicrobiota. The record is from RNAcentral.